This 500-nucleotide ribosomal RNA is filed under the name uncultured Thermus sp. RNAcentral describes it as "bacterial SSU rRNA". It matches the Rfam family "Bacterial small subunit ribosomal RNA", at positions 355 to 865 of the family's 1533-position model. Lineage: Bacteria; Thermotogati; Deinococcota; Deinococci; Thermales; Thermaceae. The record is from RNAcentral.
UUAGGAAUCUUCCGCAAUGGACGGAAGUCUGACGGAGCGACGCCGCUUGGAGGAGGAAGCCCUUCGGGGUGUAAACUCCUGAACUGGGGACGAAAGGCCUGGAGAGGGGGAUGACGGUACCCAGGUAAUAGCGCCGGCCAACUCCGUGCCAGCAGCCGCGGUAAUACGGAGGGCGCGAGCGUUACCCGGAUUUACUGGGCGUAAAGGGCGUGUAGGCGGUUUGGGGCGUCCCAUGUGAAAGGCCACGGCUCAACCGUGGAGGAGCGUGGGAUACGCUCAAGCUAGAGGGUGGGAGAGGGUGGUGGAAUUCCCGGAGUAGCGGUGAAAUGCGCAGAUACCGGGAGGAACGCCGAUGGCGAAGGCAGCCACCUGGCCCAUUUCUGACGCUGAGGCGCGAAAGCGUGGGGAGCAAACCGGAUUAGAUACCCGGGUAGUCCACGCCCUAAACGAUGCGCGCUAGGUCUUUGGGGUUUCUGGGGGCCGAAGCCAACGCGUUAAGC